GUAGGGAAUAUUAGUUAAUGUGCGAAAGCGCGAACUAGCAACGCCGCGUGUGCGAUGACGGCCUUCGGGUUGUAAAGCACUUUUGAAGGGGAUGAGGAAGGACAGUACCCUUCGAAUAAGCCUCGGCUAACUACGUGCCAGCAGCCGCGGUAAAACGUAGGAGGCGAGCGUUAUCCGGAUUUACUGGGCGUAAAGCGCGUGCAGGUGGUUUGGUAAGUUGGAUGUGAAAGCUCCUGGCUUAACUGGGAGAGGUCGUUCAAUACUACCGAACUUGAGUAUGGGAGAGGGAGGCGGAAUUCCGGGUGUAGUGGUGAAAUGCGUAGAUAUCCGGAGGAACACCAGUGGCGAAAGCGGCCUCCUGGCCCAUUACUGACACUCAGAUGCGAAAGCUAGGGGAGCGAACGGGAUUAGAAACCCCAGUAGUCC
This 426-nucleotide ribosomal RNA is filed under the name uncultured bacterium. RNAcentral describes it as "bacterial SSU rRNA". It matches the Rfam family "Bacterial small subunit ribosomal RNA", at positions 354 to 796 of the family's 1533-position model. The record is from RNAcentral.